Molecule: ribosomal RNA, 435 nt
Filed under: Chromodoris aspersa
Lineage: Eukaryota; Metazoa; Mollusca; Gastropoda; Nudibranchia; Chromodorididae
Description: partial 16S ribosomal RNA
Rfam family: Bacterial large subunit ribosomal RNA
Source: RNAcentral
AGCCUCUGGAAGCGAUUAGAGGUUAUACCUGCCCAAUGUUACAUAUUAAUGGCCGCGGUACUCUGACCGUGCUAAGGUAGCACAAUCAAUUGGCCCUUAAUUAGGGUCAGGUAUGAAUGGAGUUACGGGGUUUAGCUGUCUCCUAAUUACUUUUUUGAAGUUGCUGAAUAGGUGAAAAAGCCUGUAUGAGGAAAAAAGACGAGAAGACCCUUAGAGUUUUACUUAAAAAGAAAAAGUUUUCUGACUGGUUUUGUUGGGGCAACAUAGGAAGAAAUAAAACCUCCUAAAACAUAUAUACCGAUGUUCUUAAAUUUGGAUAAACUACCUUAGGGAUAACAGCAUAAUUUUAAAAAUAAGUUUGUGACCUCGAUGUUGGACUAGGGAACUAAAGGGCUAGCCGCCUUUUAGUAAGGUUCUGUUCGAACUAUUAUUCCU